UACGAAGGGGGCUAGCGUUGCUCGGAAUCACUGGGCGUAAAGCGCACGUAGGCGGAUCUUUAAGUCAGGGGUGAAAUCCUGGAGCUCAACUCCAGAACUGCCUUUGAUACUGGGGAUCUCGAGUCCGGAAGAGGUGAGUGGGACUCCGAGUGUAGAGGUGAAAUUCGUAGAUAUUCGGAAGAACACCAGUGGCGAAGGCGGCUCACUGGUCCGGUACUGACGCUGAGGUGCGAAAGCGUGGGGAGCAAACAGG
Molecule: ribosomal RNA, 253 nt
Filed under: uncultured bacterium
Lineage: Bacteria
Description: partial 16S ribosomal RNA
Rfam family: Bacterial small subunit ribosomal RNA
Source: RNAcentral